Molecule: long non-coding RNA, 842 nt
Filed under: Daphnia pulicaria
Lineage: Eukaryota; Metazoa; Arthropoda; Branchiopoda; Diplostraca; Daphniidae
Description: uncharacterized LOC124313633, transcript variant X2
Source: RNAcentral
UAAACUAUGGCGUCGUACUGCUGUUAGGUGUUGUAUCGUUGAUGGCUGGUUCAGCCACUGGUGUACCGAUGUCUCCUGGGUAUGGUGGAUAACAAAUCGCAACGCCGCCACCUUACUACACAACAUACGACACGAGCGGUUGCUACACUAAGGCCCCUAACUACUGCACCAAGGCUCCAGAAUAUUAUAUCACAACUUAUGCUUCCCUCAGCUACUACACCGAAUCCCCGCAGUAUUAUUCUUCCCCGAGCUACAUUAUCAAAGGGUCGAGUAAUACACCGACGUUCCGAAGUACUACACCACCACAUAUCAUGGUAUGAGAGGAGAGAAAAGGUGAAAUAAUUCAGCAGCCGAGUGAGCAUCUCCGUUACAGCAACAGUAACUGCCGUGCUCUAUUUGUCAUCAGUCUUCGUCGCAUUACAAGUUUUAAUUAAAGUGAACUAUGGCGUCGUGCUGCUAUUAGGUAUCGUAUCGUUGAUGGCUGGAUCGACCACUGGUGUGCCGAUUUCUCCUGGGUAUGGCGGGCAUCAACAACAAUAUACGCAACAACCGGAUACUACACUGAGCCCCCCAAGUGCUACACCACCAUGGCUCCAGAGUAUUACACAGUAACUUAUGCCAUCCCAGUUAUUGGCCCGAGCUACUACGCAGAAUCUCCGAAGUAUUUUUCUUCCCCGAACUUCACUAACUUCACAACGCCGCCUCCUUACUAAACAACAACGUCAACACCUACAUACUAACGAAGGCAGCGGAGUCCUACACCACGAAGGCAGCGGAGUCCUACACCACGAAGGCAGCGGAGUCCUACACCACGAAGGCAGCGGAGUCCUACACCACGAAGG